RNAcentral lists this ribosomal RNA (345 nucleotides) under uncultured bacterium. Its description in RNAcentral is "bacterial SSU rRNA". It matches the Rfam family "Bacterial small subunit ribosomal RNA", at positions 1 to 334 of the family's 1533-position model. The record is from RNAcentral.
GCGUCGUCUUUCAGAGUUUUGAUCCUGGCUCAGAGUGAACGCUGGCGGUAGGCCUAACACAUGCAAGUCGAACGGCAGCACAGUAAGAGCUUGCUCUUAUGGGUGGCGAGUGGCGGACGGGUGAGGAAUACAUCGGAAUCUACCUUUUCGUGGGGGAUAACGUAGGGAAACUUACGCUAAUACCGCAUACGACCUUCGGGUGAAAGCAGGGGACCUUCGGGCCUUGCGCGGAUAGAUGAGCCGAUGUCCCAUUAGUUAGUUGGUGAGGUAAAGGCUCACCAAGACAGCGAUGGGUAGCCGGCCUGAGAGGGUGAACGGCCACACUGGAACUGAGACACGGUCCAG